RNAcentral lists this ribosomal RNA (481 nucleotides) under Bacillus sp. (in: firmicutes). Its description in RNAcentral is "bacterial SSU rRNA". It matches the Rfam family "Bacterial small subunit ribosomal RNA", at positions 827 to 1307 of the family's 1533-position model. The record is from RNAcentral. Lineage: Bacteria; Bacillati; Bacillota; Bacilli; Caryophanales; Bacillaceae.
AGGGUUUCCGCCCUUUAGUGCUGCAGCUAACGCAUUAAGCACUCCGCCUGGGGAGUACGGUCGCAAGACUGAACUCAAAGGAAUUGACGGGGGCCCGCACAAGCGGUGGAGCAUGUGGUUUAAUUCGAAGCAACGCGAAGAACCUUACCAGGUCUUGACAUCCUCUGACAACUCUAGAGAUAGAGCGUUCCCCUUCGGGGGACAGAGUGACAGGUGGUGCAUGGUUGUCGUCAGCUCGUGUCGUGAGAUGUUGGGUUAAGUCCCGCAACGAGCGCAACCGUUGAUCUUAGUUGCCAGCAUUUAGUUGGGCACUUUAAGGUGACUGCCGGUGACAAACCGGAGGAAGGUGGGGAUGACGUCAAAUCAUCAUGCCCCUUAUGACCUGGGCUACACACGUGCUACAAUGGAUGGUACAAAGGGCUGCAAGACCGCGAGGUCAAGCCAAUCCCAUAAAACCAUUCUCAGUUCGGAUUGUAGGCUG